RNAcentral lists this ribosomal RNA (798 nucleotides) under Aerococcus sp. C65-PCA-T3P21. RNAcentral describes it as "bacterial SSU rRNA". It matches the Rfam family "Bacterial small subunit ribosomal RNA", at positions 49 to 830 of the family's 1533-position model. Lineage: Bacteria; Bacillati; Bacillota; Bacilli; Lactobacillales; Aerococcaceae. The record is from RNAcentral.
CUAUACAUGCAGUCGAGCGAACAGAUGAAGUGCUUGCACUUCUGACGUUAGCGGCGAACGGGUGAGUAACACGUAAGGAAUCUACCUAUAAGCGGGGGAUAACAUUCGGAAACGGGUGCUAAUACCGCAUAAUAUCUUCUUCCGCAUGGAAGAAGAUUGAAAGACGGCUCUGCUGUCACUUAUAGAUGACCUUGCGGUGCAUUAGUUAGUUGGUGGGGUAACGGCCUACCAAGACGAUGAUGCAUAGCCGACCUGAGAGGGUGAUCGGCCACAUUGGGACUGAGACACGGCCCAAACUCCUACGGGAGGCAGCAGUAGGGAAUCUUCCGCAAUGGGCGAAAGCCUGACGGAGCAAUGCCGCGUGAGUGAAGAAGGCCUUCGGGUCGUAAAACUCUGUUAUAAGAGAAGAACAAAUUGUAGAGUAACUGCUACAGUCUUGACGGUAUCUUAUCAGAAAGCCACGGCUAACUACGUGCCAGCAGCCGCGGUAAUACGUAGGUGGCAAGCGUUGUCCGGAUUUAUUGGGCGUAAAGGGAGCGCAGGUGGUUUCUUAAGUCUGAUGUGAAAGCCCACGGCUUAACCGUGGAGGGUCAUUGGAAACUGGGAAACUUGAGUACAGAAGAGGAAUGUGGAACUCCAUGUGUAGCGGUGGAAUGCGUAGAUAUAUGGAAGAACACCAGUGGCGAAGGCGACAUUCUGGUCUGUUACUGACACUGAGGCUCGAAAGCGUGGGGAGCAAACAGGAUUAGAUACCCUGGUAGUCCACGCCGUAAACGAUGAGUGCUAGGUGUUGGAGGG